UGUGGCAGACACUUUACUAUGGGAGAAGCCAGUGCUCCGUAACUCAUUGUCUCUUCACUUUUCACAGAUUUAUAAAAUUUCAGCAGUUCUCCACAGCCCAGUGAAAUCAUCACAGAUCCAUUUUAUUCAGCUGAUUCUUGCUGCUCUGUGUUCCUGUUUUGAGCUAUGGGAUGAAUGUACUACUAUGCAUCUACUUCAGUUACUGGAACAUUAUUGCUUCUGUUUUCUGAGGUAAGAAUCAGCAAUGGUUUUGGUAUUUGUCACUGAGUCUUGAAGAUACUCAAGUCAAGAAUCAAGCCAAAUUUUUAAACGAUUUUGUCGUUUAAAUUUCAUUUUUUUCUUCUGGUUCAGCCAGUG
RNAcentral lists this long non-coding RNA (357 nucleotides) under Cyanistes caeruleus (blue tit). RNAcentral describes it as "lncRNA (ENSCCEG00000022255.1)". Lineage: Eukaryota; Metazoa; Chordata; Aves; Passeriformes; Paridae. The record is from RNAcentral.